Arabidopsis thaliana (thale cress) is the source of this 239-nucleotide long non-coding RNA. RefSeq annotates it as other RNA. NCBI's taxonomy places the organism in Eukaryota, Viridiplantae, Streptophyta, Magnoliopsida, Brassicales, Brassicaceae. The transcript has a single exon. The record is from RefSeq.
AGCUCCUCUCUCUUUCUUCUCAAAAUAAAGAAACCAUUUUAUGAACCUUCUUAUCCUGAGAGCUAUUGUUAUUCAUUUAGUCCUUUUGACACCUAACUCUUUGUGUCAAUGUAACACGAUAAGAAUCAAGAUAAAGUUUGGAAACCGUCAUAGGAGGUGUAUCCAUAAUUGACAGGUUUCUUGUGUUCUGAUGUUCAGUCUCCAGCCCAAUGAUUUCCCACUAGACACACACGAGUGUU